AUAAAAGCUAGGACGGUGGAAAGUAAGCCAGGGAAAACCGACAGGGAAGGCGGAGCAUGGAUUGAGACUCCACCCAGGUGGAAAGUGGCUGAAGUUCCCUCCCGAGCUGCACGGGUGAAGAGCCGAACAGUUUUGUAGCCCGAGCCGCGCUGCACGCGUUAUCAGAGCUGCCGAUGAACGUCGGCGUAAAGUGGAUUGUCUGUUUGGUUCGCAACAGACAAUCAAAGCGGGUGGUACCGCGGGAAAUUUCUCCCGUCCCAGUU
RNAcentral lists this non-coding RNA (263 nucleotides) under Chloroflexota bacterium. RNAcentral's name for it is "Chloroflexi bacterium T-box sequence". It matches the Rfam family "T-box leader". From Rfam's summary of the family: Uncharged tRNA acts as the effector for transcription antitermination of genes in the T-box leader family. T-boxes are found upstream of many aminoacyl-tRNA synthetase genes and some amino acid biosynthetic genes usually in Gram-positive bacteria. Lineage: Bacteria; Bacillati; Chloroflexota. The record is from RNAcentral.